AUUCAGUUCCUUGUCCAUCAGAUUAUUUAAUAGCAUAUUCAAACCCUUGUCCUUCAGAUAAUAUUUCUCUCCCCUUAUCUGCAAUUAUCGAAGUUUUUCUUUCUUCAUCUGUUAAAUUUGAUACUGCUUAACCUGUGGCAUUUACUAAUCUAUUUGUUAAUUCAUAUAACAAACAUUGGUUGGAUAGAUGAGUACAGAGUUGCUAAAAUUAUAUGAAAGAGAAUAAAAAGGAGAAGCUUUUGAAGUAAGACAUUUUAUACACUGUCCUAUAGUGAGUAUCUAAUGUCUAUUGGGUCGUCUUGGUUUUUUAGAAAUGGUUCAUGUUAUCUAAACCUUUGUUUGUUGAAUGAAUUUUUGGAUUGUAGUGAUGUAAAUCUUUUCUGUUUUGAGGCUUAGACCUAAAAGCAGGAAUUGAUUUGCAGUUGCUUAGUACUUAGAAUGAGAAACUUCUUGACUAUAUACUAAUUAUUUUAAUAUCUGAGAAGUUUGCCACCUUUUAUUGUAGUGUUCUGUUCAAUUUUUUAUCUUUUGCCUUUGCCCCUCCAGGCACUUGAUACAUUCAACACUGCUGUCGUAUCUCCCAUAUA
Molecule: unclassified non-coding RNA, 587 nt
Filed under: Hevea brasiliensis (rubber tree)
Lineage: Eukaryota; Viridiplantae; Streptophyta; Magnoliopsida; Malpighiales; Euphorbiaceae
Source: RNAcentral